RNAcentral lists this ribosomal RNA (413 nucleotides) under uncultured bacterium. RNAcentral describes it as "bacterial SSU rRNA". It matches the Rfam family "Bacterial small subunit ribosomal RNA", at positions 352 to 782 of the family's 1533-position model. The record is from RNAcentral.
CAGUCGGGAAUUUUGGGCAAUGGGCGAAAGCCUGACCCAGCAACGCCGCGUGAAGGAUGAAGUAUUUCGGUAUGUAAACUUCGAAAGAAUAGGAAGAAUAAAUGACGGUACUAUUUAUAAGGUCCGGCUAACUACGUGCCAGCAGCCGCGGUAAUACGUAGGGACCAAGCGUUGUUCGGAUUUACUGGGCGUAAAGGGCGCGUAGGCGGCUUUGUAAGUCACUUGUGAAAUCUCCGGGCUUAACUCGGAACGGCCAAGUGAUACUGCAAUGCUAGAGUGCAGAAGGGGCAAUCGGAAUUCUUGGUGUAGCGGUGAAAUGCGUAGAUAUCAAGAGGAACACCUGAGGUGAAGACGGGUUGCUGGGCUGACACUGACGCUGAGGCGCGAAAGCCAGGGGAGCAAACGGGAUUAGA